This 253-nucleotide ribosomal RNA is filed under the name uncultured bacterium. RNAcentral describes it as "partial 16S ribosomal RNA". It matches the Rfam family "Bacterial small subunit ribosomal RNA", at positions 524 to 776 of the family's 1533-position model. The record is from RNAcentral.
UACGUAGGGCGCAAGCGUUGUCCGGAAUUAUUGGGCGUAAAGAGCUCGUAGGCGGUUUGUCGCGUCUGCCGUGAAAGUCCGGGGCUCAACCCCGGAUCUGCGGUGGGUACGGGCAGACUAGAGUGAUGUAGGGGAGACUGGAAUUCCUGGUGUAGCGGUGAAAUGCGCAGAUAUCAGGAGGAACACCGGUGGCGAAGGCGGCGACCUGGGUAGAUACUGACGCUGAGGUGCGAAAGCGUGGGGAGCAAACAGG